ACGUAGGGUGCAAGCGUUAAUCGGAAUUAUUGGGCGUAAAGAGCUCGUAGGUGGUUCGUCACGUCGGAUGUGAAACUCUGGGGCUUAACCCCAGACCUGCAUUCGAUACGGGCGAGCUUGAGUAUGGUAGGGGAGUCUGGAAUUCCUGGUGUAGCGGUGGAAUGCGCAGAUAUCAGGAGGAACACCAAUGGCGAAGGCAGGACUCUGGGCCAUUACUGACACUGAGGAGCGAAAGCGUGGGGAGCGAACAGG
This 252-nucleotide ribosomal RNA is filed under the name uncultured bacterium. RNAcentral describes it as "partial 16S ribosomal RNA". It matches the Rfam family "Bacterial small subunit ribosomal RNA", at positions 525 to 776 of the family's 1533-position model. The record is from RNAcentral.